GUCCUGAUUAUUGCUGCUGGUGUUGGUGAAUUUGAAGCAGGCAUCUCCAAGCAUGGGCAGACCCAUGAGUGUGCCCUUCUGGCUUACACAGUGAGUGUGAAACAGCUGAUUGGUGGUGUUAAAAUGAAUGGGCAGACCCAGUGAG
This is a long non-coding RNA of Phyllostomus discolor (pale spear-nosed bat), 145 nucleotides long. RefSeq lists it as uncharacterized. The record is from RefSeq and is a predicted model, not a curated record. Lineage: Eukaryota; Metazoa; Chordata; Mammalia; Chiroptera; Phyllostomidae. The transcript is spliced from 3 exons.